Non-coding RNA from Ornithorhynchus anatinus (platypus), 72 nucleotides. Lineage: Eukaryota; Metazoa; Chordata; Mammalia; Monotremata; Ornithorhynchidae. The record is from Rfam.
AGCAGCGUGGCUCGGUGGAAAGAGCACAGGCUUUGAAGUCAGAGGUCAUGGGUUCGAAUCCCGGCUCUGCCA